RNAcentral lists this ribosomal RNA (388 nucleotides) under uncultured bacterium. Its description in RNAcentral is "bacterial SSU rRNA". It matches the Rfam family "Bacterial small subunit ribosomal RNA", at positions 28 to 417 of the family's 1533-position model. The record is from RNAcentral.
GACGAACGCUGGCGGCGUGCUUAACACAUGCAAGUCGAGCGGUAAGGCCCUUUCGGGGGUACACGAGCGGCGAACGGGUGAGUAACACGUGGGUGACCUGCCCUCAGCUCUGGGAUAAGCCUGGGAAGCCGGGUCUAAUACCGGAUAUGACUCCAUGACGCAUGUUGUGGGGUGGAAAGCCUUGUGCGGCUGAGGAUGGGCCCGCGGCCUAUCAGUUUGUUGGUGGGGUGAUGGCCUACCAAGGCGACGACGGGUAGCCGGCCUGAGAGGGCGACCGGCCACACUGGGACUGAGACACGGCCCAGACUCCUACGGGAGGCAGCAGUGGGGAAUCUUGCGCAAUGGGCGAAAGCCUGACGCAGCGACGCCGCGUGAGGGAUGACGGCCU